GCUUUUUUGACUGAUUUAAUUCAUCUUUUUCUGCUAUUAGAAGUCCUGACUGCAAUCCAAAGACAAAAAAAGAGAACAAAAAAGAUCCAGUGCCAGAAGGGAGAAAUCUUCAGUGUGAGUGAAAGUAAUCUACCCUCAAUUUUGUUGACUAUUACAGGAAAGUCAUUUUACUGCUGGAGAGACAAAGAUUCAUCAUGUGCCUGCUUGCAAAAAUGAGAAGAGAAAGGGAGAGCCAUUGGAACUGUGGAUCUGAUGUGUUCAAUAUAUCUUAUGCAGAUGGGGAGACACCUUAUAAAGAUCACAGAAUUGCUAAGAAUGCAAGAGAAACAGAUGUCCUCCCAUGUGCAUUCCAGCUUAUUUUGGCAUCAUCUCAGCUGAUUCCAGGUGACUAAGGCAGAUAUCUAAAAGAAGAGGAAUGAGAGAACUGAAGAAAAAUGACAAGAAAAAGGAAAUUCAACUUUCACCAUAACUGGGGCCUGUGGAAAGUUCAGGUCUUUACCUCUUCCAAGCUGUAUUCUGCUUUUCACUUGCAAGGAAACUUGCCAUGUUUCUGAGUAUUUUCCCAGCUGUUGUCUCACUGUACGUGCUGCCCUAGAGAUAUGUGUGUGUCUGUGGGUGUUGCUGGAAAUGUAGUGUGCUUCCCCCACAUCCACUGCAGCAUACAGUUUGCUUGGUUUGCUUGUGUGAUUAAGGUAAGCGCUAAAAAUGUUAGCAGCCUAGAACCAUUACAAGUCUAAAAGUUGUUCUUCCCUCUCUUCUCUUCUAGGCUUGUGACAUAUGGCCUUUCCCUUGCUAGAGUUCUGCAAUCCUUCAUGGUCUUAGCUCUAAAAAGCCAUUUGUUUGACAUUGUUGGAUGCCCUUAGGCAAAUUAAGACCCUGGUGAAACAGUUUAGUCACAGUCUGGUCUAGUCCACAAAGAAUUUGAAAACAGUUAAGGCUAAAAUAGAAGGAUUUUUAUGGUUCCUUGCCAUAAUAUUUUUAUUUUAUCUUCAAUAUGUACCUCUUAAAUUGCCCAAACUUUUAGUCAGUCCCACUGGACCAUUAUUUUUUCUCUUCUGGAGAUUUUUUUUUUCCAAUACCUUGGAUUUGAUCUGGUCUCUCCCUCUGACACAAAUUGACCAGCUAGCAUCACUAUGUAAGAAAACAGCCCUCUAGUUUAGCUUGCAUUCAUGUGGGUCUCUUGUGAUCCAGUUUAAACCUGAGAUUUUCCAACACCACAUUCUCUCAAAACACAGUGAAAUUUCUUUUUUAUGUCGUAUGUUGGGGGGUGAUUAUGGAGUGUGGGUGAGAAUGAGGAAUAAGGACAGGAAUGCAAGAGACUUUUGUUUCUCUAGUUUUCUGUACUGAUUUCCAAGCAGCAAGGCUAGUUCAGCACAGCUGGCAAUUUUUUUUUUAAAUUCUGGAUGGAAAUAAAGAGAGGAACAGGGUGAAAUUUCCCUCUCUC
Molecule: long non-coding RNA, 1444 nt
Filed under: Parus major (Great Tit)
Lineage: Eukaryota; Metazoa; Chordata; Aves; Passeriformes; Paridae
Description: lncRNA (ENSPMJG00000013614.1)
Source: RNAcentral